This 376-nucleotide ribosomal RNA is filed under the name uncultured bacterium. Its description in RNAcentral is "bacterial SSU rRNA". It matches the Rfam family "Bacterial small subunit ribosomal RNA", at positions 524 to 898 of the family's 1533-position model. The record is from RNAcentral.
UACGUAGGAUGCAAGCGUUGUCCGGAUUUACUGGGCGUAAAGAGCUCGUAGGCGGGGACGCGCGUCUCGGAGGAAAUUCCAGGGCUCAACCCUGGAGCUUUCCGAGAUACGGCGUCUCUUGAGGGCAGAAGAGGAGAACAGAAUUCCCGGUGUAGCGGUGAAAUGCGUAGAUAUCGGGAGGAAUACCAGUGGCGAAGGCGGUUCUCUGGUCUGUCUCUGACGCUGAGGAGCGAAAGCGUGGGUAGCGAACGGGAUUAGAUACCCCGGUAGUCCACGCCGUAAACGAUGGGCACUAGGUGUAGGAGGUAUCGACCCCUUCUGUGCCGCAGCUAACGCAUUAAGUGCCCCGCCUGGGGAGUACGGCCGCAAGGUUGAA